Grammomys surdaster is the source of this 1196-nucleotide long non-coding RNA. RefSeq lists it as uncharacterized. The transcript has 4 exons. NCBI's taxonomy places the organism in Eukaryota, Metazoa, Chordata, Mammalia, Rodentia, Muridae. The record is from RefSeq and is a predicted model, not a curated record.
UGUUUGGCACCAAGGGUGAUUACAUCUCUCCACUGUGAAUCAAGAGUGCUCAGGAUGAGAACUGAAAUUCUGUUUAGAAGUUGUAGUCUGUGGGAAUAUCUUUUACUGUGGAGCAUAUGCUAUUCACAUCCUCAUGCAUGUCUUGGAAGUAAGAUAGGUCCACAGCGCAGAAAUAAACCCUAAUAGUUAGUUACUCAGCUGAUGGUAUAAAAAAAAGAUGAAAUAUUUGUUUUUCAGACUCCCACGUUCCUGCAUAUAAAGGUGUUCCUGGUUGAUUUGAGAUGGUUUCUCAAGCAGGAGACUAUUUGUUGGGAAGUUCUCACCAUACCCAUUAUUGUUCUAGGGCUUGAGACCAAGUGGAAGUUUUAAUAUGCUGUUCUGGGAUUCUGUGACUCCAGCAUGUAAGCUUGCAGAGUUCAGCUCUCCUCGGUUUUCGGGAUUUCUGUAGAUUCCACUUAGUGUGUUCUCAGCAUGUGGAGAAGGAGGCUCUUCAUUGCACUGUCAUGCCUUCUCCAGACUCACAGAUAUGCCUUUGCCUCUCUAUUGUCUCUCUUUACCAUGUCCCAAGCAGCUCCUCUGUCAACUUUAGUCUCUUGAUUCUGUUCUUUCUUAUGAUGAACUUUCUAAGUUAUUUUGACUCUACACUAAGACGUGGGUUUCUGUUCAUCAGAUGGGUGUCGGUGGGAAGAGAAGACAAGGAAGACAAAGGUAGCAAUGAAGCAAUACGUGGAGAUGCCAUACUCCAAAGCGGUAGACAGACAAAUAUUGAUAGAAGAGUAAAAAGAAACCAGUCUGGCCUUGAACUCAGAGAGAUCCACCUGUCUCUGCCUCCUACGUGCUGGGAUCAAAGGCAUUAGAAAGUUACCGAAGGACCCCACUACUUCACUCCUGGAUGCAUGCUCGGAGAACUCCACGGCCUGCCAUGAGCCCUCCGCUGAUCCAAGGAACUCAGUCAGCUAUGCUGGCGUAGCUGACAAGUGGAGGUUUCACCAAGAUCGGAAAGAUGAGGACGAUUGCUGACGGGCCGUCUCCGGGGCUUGCAUUAAGACAGGAGACACAUUGGGCACAAACCGAAGAAAACAAUGUCAGCAUUCUAGAGUUAUUUUCUUACACAUCUACAAAGAAAACAACAGAACCCCCACAUCUUCGUUUCCUCUCUGGUUUCUGGGAUGUUCCUCACACAUGCAUCUUCCGUC